This 73-nucleotide transfer RNA is filed under the name Cordylochernes scorpioides. Its description in RNAcentral is "tRNA-Thr". Lineage: Eukaryota; Metazoa; Arthropoda; Arachnida; Pseudoscorpiones; Chernetidae. The record is from RNAcentral.
GUCCAGGGAUGGGAACCGAACCCACAGUGUUCCGUUUACCGGGCAGAUGCCAUGUCCACUAGGUUACCCUGGA